AGAGUUUGAUCCUGGCUCAGGAUGAACGCUGGCGGCGUGCUUAACACAUGCAAGUCGAACGGAAGUAAGAGACGGAAGGGCAGUUUACUGCCACAGAACAAGUUUUACUUUAGUGGCGGACGGGUGAGUAACGCGUGGGUAACCUGCCUUAUACAGGGGGAUAACACUUAGAAAUAGGUGCUAAGACCGCAUAAGCGCCCAGGGCCGCAUGGCCCAGGGUGAAAAACUCCGGUGGUAUAAGAUGGGCCCCGCGUCUGAUUAGCCAGUUGGCAGGGUAACGGCCUACCCAAAGCGACGAUCAGUAGCCGGCCUGAGAGGGUGGACGGCCACAUUGGGACUGAGACACGGCCCAAACUCCUACGGGAGGCAGCAGUGGGGGAUAUUGCACAAUGGGGGAAACCCUGAUGCAGCGACGCCGCGUGGGUGAAGAAGUAUUUCGGUAUGUAAAGCUCUAUCAGCAGGGAAGAAAGAAGACGGUACCUGAGUAAGAAGCCCCGGCUAACUACGUG
RNAcentral lists this ribosomal RNA (509 nucleotides) under uncultured Lachnospiraceae bacterium. RNAcentral's name for it is "bacterial SSU rRNA". It matches the Rfam family "Bacterial small subunit ribosomal RNA", at positions 8 to 507 of the family's 1533-position model. Lineage: Bacteria; Bacillati; Bacillota; Clostridia; Lachnospirales; Lachnospiraceae. The record is from RNAcentral.